Molecule: ribosomal RNA, 468 nt
Filed under: uncultured bacterium
Lineage: Bacteria
Description: partial 16S ribosomal RNA
Rfam family: Bacterial small subunit ribosomal RNA
Source: RNAcentral
GACGAACGCUGGCGGCGUGCUUAACACAUGCAGGUCGAACGGAAAGGCCCUGCUUUUGUGGGGUGCUCGAGUGGCGAACGGGUGAGUAACACGUGAGUAACCUGCCCUUGACUUUGGGAUAACUUCAGGAAACUGGGGCUAAUACCGGAUAGGAGCUCCUGCUGCAUGGUGGGGGUUGGAAAGUUUCGGCGGUUGGGGAUGGACUCGCGGCUUAUCAGCUUGUUGGUGGGGUAGUGGCUUACCAAGGCUUUGACGGGUAGCCGGCCUGAGAGGGUGACCGGCCACAUUGGGACUGAGGUACGGACCAGACUCCUACGGGAGGCAGCAGUGGAGAAUAUUGCACAAUGGGCGGAAGCCUGAUGCAGCAACGCCGCGUGCGGGAUGACGGCCUUCGGGUUGUAAACCGCUUUCGCCUGUGACGAAGCGUGAGUGACGGUAAUGGGUAAAGAAGCACCGGCUAACUACGUG